RNAcentral lists this ribosomal RNA (593 nucleotides) under Pseudomonas sp. HRRK073. RNAcentral's name for it is "bacterial SSU rRNA". It matches the Rfam family "Bacterial small subunit ribosomal RNA", at positions 102 to 691 of the family's 1533-position model. Lineage: Bacteria; Pseudomonadati; Pseudomonadota; Gammaproteobacteria; Pseudomonadales; Pseudomonadaceae. The record is from RNAcentral.
ACGGGUGAGUAAUGCCUAGGAAUCUGCCUGGUAGUGGGGGACAACGUUUCGAAAGGAACGCUAAUACCGCAUACGUCCUACGGGAGAAAGCAGGGGACCUUCGGGCCUUGCGCUAUUAAAUGAGCCUAGGUCGGAUUAGCUAGUUGGUGAGGUAAUGGCUCACCAAGGCGACGAUCCGUAACUGGUCUGAGAGGAUGAUCAGUCACACUGGAACUGAGACACGGUCCAGACUCCUACGGGAGGCAGCAGUGGGGAAUAUUGGACAAUGGGCGAAAGCCUGAUCCAGCCAUGCCGCGUGUGUGAAGAAGGUCUUCGGAUUGUAAAGCACUUUAAGUUGGGAGGAAGGGCUUUAAACUAAUACUUUGCUGUUUUGACGUUACCGACAGAAUAAGCACCGGCUAACUCUGUGCCAGCAGCCGCGGUAAUACAGAGGGUGCAAGCGUUAAUCGGAAUUACUGGGCGUAAAGCGCGCGUAGGUGGUUUGUUAAGUUGGAUGUGAAAGCCCCGGGCUCAACCUGGGAACUGCAUUCAAAACUGACAAGCUAGAGUAUGGUAGAGGGUGGUGGAAUUUCCUGUGUAGCGGUGAAAUGCGU